GAGGCUCAAACCCUCUUAUUUCUA
This 24-nucleotide transfer RNA is filed under the name Equus sp. Its description in RNAcentral is "partial tRNA-Ile". The record is from RNAcentral. Lineage: Eukaryota; Metazoa; Chordata; Mammalia; Perissodactyla; Equidae.